This 16-nucleotide ribosomal RNA is filed under the name Avena insularis. RNAcentral's name for it is "partial 26S ribosomal RNA". The record is from RNAcentral. Lineage: Eukaryota; Viridiplantae; Streptophyta; Magnoliopsida; Poales; Poaceae.
GCGACCUCAGGUCAGG